RNAcentral lists this small RNA (134 nucleotides) under Salmonella enterica. RNAcentral's name for it is "RtT sRNA". It matches the Rfam family "RtT RNA". Rfam says of the family: This family represents a bacterial cis-regulatory element known as RtT RNA. The exact function of RtT is unknown although it is thought that it may be involved in changing the cellular response in relation to amino acid starvation. Lineage: Bacteria; Pseudomonadati; Pseudomonadota; Gammaproteobacteria; Enterobacterales; Enterobacteriaceae. The record is from RNAcentral.
UGUAUCUGAAGCCUGAUGAGGAUGAGAACCUCCGGGGGCAAGAGGUUCGACCCGAGCGCAGCGAGAGAACGUUGCUUCAGCAACGGCCCGCAGGGCGAGCCACGCAGUGGCGAGUCAUCCUCUAUCACCGACCA